Molecule: non-coding RNA, 9748 nt
Organism: Taeniopygia guttata (zebra finch)
Lineage: Eukaryota; Metazoa; Chordata; Aves; Passeriformes; Estrildidae
Source: RefSeq, a predicted model, not a curated record
GGAACCCGCGGCGGGACCCGGGCAGCAGCCAAGACCUCCGCCACACCAACACUGAGACUGAUUGGGUUUUAAUUACUAUCAGCUAUCAAACUAAACAGUAAUACUCAGAAGAACACAAAACUGCUCAUAGAAUUAUAGAAUAUGCUGAGUUGGAAGGGGCCCAUCAGGAUCAUCAAGUCCAUCUCCUGGCUGUGUGCAGGACUCCUCAAGACUCACACCAUGUGCCCAAGAGAGUUGUCCAAAAGCGUCCUGAACUCUAUCAGACUUGGUGCUGUGAUGACUUCCAUGGGGAGCCUGUUCCAGUGCCCAACCACCCUCCAGGUAAAAAAUCUUUUCCUGACAUCCAACUUAAACCUCUCCUGACUCAACUCCAGGCCAUUCCCUUGGGUCCUGUCACUGAUCACAAGAGUGAAAACAUCAUUACUUGACCCUCCACUUACCCGCACAAGAAUGUUGUAACUGCAAUGAGGUCUCCCCUCAAUCUCCUUUCCUCCAGACAGAGCAAACCGAGUGACCUCAGCUGUUCCUCAUUUGGCUUUCCUUCCAGACCCUUCACCAUCCUCAUAGCCCUCAUUUAUUACACUCUCUAAUAACUUAAUAUCUUUUUUACAUGGUGGUGACCAAAACUGCCCCCAGCACUCAAGGUGAGGCCACCCUAGAGCAGAGCAGCACAAUCCCCUCCCUUGCCUUGGCAAUGCUGUCCCUGAUACCCCCAGGACAGGGUUGGCCCUCCCGGCUGCCAGGGCACUGCUGGCUCAUGUCCAACUUGCCAUCGACCAGGACCCAGGUCCCUUUCUGUGGCACUGCUCUCCAGCCUCUCAUUUCCCAGCCUGUGCACGCAGCCAGGGCUGCCCCAUGCCAAGUGCAGAAUCCAGCACUUGCCCUUGUUAAACUUCACAGCUGGUGACUGCCCAGUCCUUUAAUUCGUCAAGGUCUCUCUACAGGGCCUCUCUGCCUCUAAGGAGUUGACAGCUCUUCCCAAUUCAGUGUCUUCAGCAAACUUAGUAUUUCCUCAAGUCCUGCAUCCAGGUUUUUAAUGAAGAUGGAACCCCAUGGAACCCCACUAGUGACAGUCACCAGUCUGAUGUCACCCCAUUCACUAGAACUCUUUUUGCCUGACUUGUGAGGCAGUAGCUUACCUAUCACGUAACUCAGUUAUCCAGCUGUGUGAUGGACAAUCCAGAAGGAUUCUGUGAGAGACAGUAUCAAAGCUCUGAUGAAGUCCAAAAUAUUACAUUUCAGACUUCCCAGGCUAUUUGCAGUGCCCCGAAGAAUCAGUAAAUGUAGAGGGGUAAAUCAACCCAAUCCACGAUUGCUUGCUGGCUCAUGUAUUUCAGGGUAGAACAAGGAGGAGCCUGCCAAGGGGAGAGUCUGGCUCACUCUCUUUUUUUUUUUCCCUCCUCCCAGAUUUGUAAUGUAGUAUCCAAAGCCCAUGAGCACCAUCCUGUGGCUGCAGCUAGUUGGAAUAUUGUGAUUCAAACAAGACAGGUCUUGAGAAUGCCAUUGAUGGGUAAAUAGAUUCUGUAACUCCUUGUAGCCUUCAAAUGUCUUUAUACUUCAAUUUUUGUCUGUUUGCAUCAGAAUUGAAAUUAAUAUUUUAAGAUUAUGCUAAGUGUGUGCUUUCAAGUGUAACUUGGUUGAUUUUAUUAUUAUCAUAUUUUUUCCCUCAUUUAUAUUUUAUUUUAACAUAAUAUGACCACCUUUAGAGCUAAUGAUACUUAUUACCAUUGAGUUUAGUCAGCUUUCUCUGGAGGGCACAAUAGAUCUCUUUGCAUUAUUCCAAGGAAGAACUAUUGUUCACAAGUUCAAGGUAAGAAUUAAAAGGUAAGGUUCCUUGAAAGAGCUUGUAUAAUGUGCACAUCUGGAAAUAGAGAAAGAGCACACUAUGCUUAGUAUUAAUGUUUUACAAAUUAUUUACCAAAGUUUCUUUCUUGUCUUCCAUUAAAAACAAGCAAACAAACAAAAAACCUUUGAAUUUUAAGAAUUAAUUUACUGAUUGUGAAUUUGUCCCAAAAUUUUACUUUCCACUAUUAUGAAUUGGCCAAUCCUCAGUGAUUUCAAAAGAACAACUAUUUAAAUCCACUACAUUUUAAAAGUAUUCACAUCAGCAAGAUAUGGACCAUCUUUUGCUUGGCUAGUGUAGAUUACAUACAAUUUCUAUAAAUAGGAUUACAAGGCAAUGAUGUUGGAAAUACAGCUGGAAACAAUUAAUCCAUUGCAAGAACAGAAUUAGUGCAGGCUCACGACCUCAGAGUGAGCUGGCUGAAUAUUUCAUGGUCUGAUUAAACCAAGCAAUGGGUCACCAGCAGCGGGACUUGUGCAAACUGAACAGAAACCAAAAUAAUGGAUGGUUUUGGUCAUUGUAGGGUAGAAUUGCACUGUAAUUAUCAAUCCUUUUCUUUUUUCCCCCCAUAUCUCCUGUUUUUUAGGGUAUACUUAGAAUAUUUUUCUUUUUUCAUAUACUAAUGAAUGCAAGGUAUACCAUUUUUCACAAGAUUUUAAAAAUGAGAAUAUCAAGUUUGGGGGAUAUUUUCAAAUGGCAAAUAAGCAAAAACUAACCAGGUCUUUUAUAUUUUUAUUAAAAUGAUUAUUGUAUUCCUUUAUUAAAAUUAUGUUUUUAAAGCUAGCUAGCAUUUUUACCUCCUAAACUAAAAUAUGGUUUCCUUUCAUUUACUUACACAGAAAUUUACAAUUUUAAAUGCUCUUUCUCCUCCAUCCAAAAGUUCCUGUCUAUGAUACAUCUAUUUGAAUGACUCAAACCAGUCCCUAGACCUAACAACAAUUCACAGACUUUUUUUAUUUUUUUUUUUGCUAUUAAAAGAACUCCAUAACACAGAGACAGAGAUAAUACUUGAGGUGAAGUAUAACUGACUUUUGCUUUAUUUUUUGUUAAAUAUAAUGGAAUAUACAAUACUCUGAAAAGUGUUUUGCCAAGAUCAGUCUGUCAACACUUGCAGUCACUAGGUGAUCUAUGAAGUAAGCCAUGCACUGAGAGAGUAGAAGGACUUAGGACUGUAUUCUGCCCAAAUUAAAAUAGAGAGAAAAUACUUUAAUUGUGAUGUUUCUUCUUUAACAUAUUAGCCAUGCAUGCUUACUUUUACAUUUUUCUCUUUGUUAGUUAAGACAAUUAGUUAAGACAAUUGUUUUGUGAUGUGAAUAUACAGUGAAAUUACUUUUGAAAAGGGUAGCUAUCUUUUAUGAAGUUUUUUUUUUCUAGUGGCUUUCUUUGUGCUACAACUAUUUCUCUGGUAUCCACCCCACAAAUGUGGCAUUCUACAUCUCUGAUUUUAGGCAGGAACAGUCAAAGUAGUCCACCUUUGCUUUUUUAUUUGUUGACUUGUCUGAUGAGUCAUUUUCUUUUCCUUGAUACUUUCAAUGCUGUCGGCACUUUAUUGAGCUGUUAGGUCUAUUAAUCUGAAACUUAUUGCACAUAAUGAGGUAAGUGAAAGGGAUGCAGAAGAAACCAAAUUGAUGCCAUGGCCAUUAAAGUGUAAAAGUUCAUGUUUAGAGUUGGUCUUGCUCCUCCAAACAUGCAGGAAAGAGAGAAAAGCUUGGCAAAAGGACCAUGGGGAAAUGGAAAAAGAACCCCCAAAUAUUAUUCAAUAAUGUAUUUUUCUGUUCUCGUCUCAGUAUGAAGAAGGUAAUGGCAAGAAUGACAAGGCUGGUGUUUUGUAAAUCUGGCUUUUCAUUCUGUAGUCAAAUUAGACCUCUUUAUAUUUCAGAAGUGAUCUGCCGUGUGUUUACACCUCCACAUCUCAGCCAGCUUCUGAGCCUUUCUCUAGCCAGGUUUGAGGAAUAAAUAUAGCUGUAUGGGUCUGGCAACAUGGCCAGGAGCUACUUUCAUCCUUCUGAGCCUUUGACAAGUGCAGUCUGUCAGAUCCAUUUAGGGAGAGAGCUAAGCCACUUCUUAAAGUCCAUGAGCAGCAGGGAGGCUGAGAUCCUGAAGGUGCAAAUUCCUGCACCUACAGCCUCCUCAUAGCUGCAGUGAAAGGGCAGAGCAUCAGAGAAGUGAUGUUAUCCUCUCUGACAUGUUCACAGGGCAGGAGCCCGUCCUACCUCACUGGACAGGGGGGGCUCUUGUGUGCUCUUUCUCUCUCAGACUAGGAGGGGUUUCCUCGUCUGUUGCUGGCAAUGUUCUGGACUCAGCAGCAUUAUACAGGAUCAUGGAGUCUUUGGAAGGCAUCUGUGGAGAGCAUCAACUCCAACUCCACCCUGUUAAAUGAGGGUCACCCAGAAUGGAUUCCCAGGGCCAUGUCAAGUUGAGUUAUGAGUAUCUCCAAGAAUGGAGACUUCACAUCCUCCCUGGGUGACCUACUCCAGUGUUUGACCACCUUCACAAUUAAGGGAAAAAAAAAACUUGCCACAGCACAAAUGUUUUCUUGUGUUCAGAUGGAAUCAGCUUAGUGCCCCCCACUCUAGGGCUUUUUCUGCAGUCAGCCACAGUGUGUACUGAUAUCUGAGGUUAUUCCUCCUGAAGGGCAGGAGCCUGCACAUCCUUUUGCUGAACUUCAUAUUGUUCCUAUUUUGCCCUUCUCCACCCUGGUGAGGGUGCUAUAGAUGGUAGCAGAAUCAUCUUAUGCUUGUCACUCCUCCCAGCCUUUUUGCUAUCUGUGAACUUGUUCAAGGUGCACUUUCCACCAUUGACCAGUCCAGUAAUGAAGAGUCAAAGCAAUAUUGGCACUGGUAUCAACCCCUGAGGUACAUCUCUGGUGACUGAGCUCCAGCUGGACUUCAUGCUCCUCAUUUGAACCCCUUGAGCCCAAAAAUUCAGCCAAUUUUCAAUUCAUCUCACUGUCUACUCAUCUGGUCUAUGCCUGAGCAGUAUACCUAUGAGGGAGUUACAGGAGAAAGCAUUACAAAAGUUAAGAUAAAUACUCUGCAGUCAUAAUGUGAGCACUGCUCCCAUUUGCUCCUAGGCUACAUGCUGAGACUUCAACCCUCCUGAGAGAGCUCUGCAUCUGGGGGUAGGUCCUGGGACACUGCCAGCAUGGAGGCAGGCUGCCCUGAAUAAAGAGAACAACCAGACUUUGUGAAGUUGGAUCUAUCAGCAGCUGGAAAUGGAUAAGUACAAAUACUUUAGCCUGGCAAAAUGUUUCACUGGAUUAAGCUUCAGUGCAGAUUGAUUUGCAGCCCAUCAAUGGUAUAACUCAACACAGUGAGGGAAGGAUCCCCCAUAUUUUACUGAAUAAGCAUAAGAGUUACAGAUUCUGGCUAUCUGCGCAAGAAAUAAUUUUCUUUGGAAUGAAAUCCUGGCUGAAAUGUGUAUUUAAACCAGUCAGAGCUGGAAGCAAGACGGUGGUGGUCUCUAAAUAAAUACCAUAAGUUAUGAAUGCAAGGGAACAAGAAAGAAUUCCUUUCCAACUAACAUGUAUCUUAAGCUAUUACCUAAAAUAAACAGAGCUUCUUGUCUUUCUCCUCCUGAGCAUCUGCACUGAGUUCCUACACUAAACACCCUUGAACACUGUAAUUAUGCACUUCUGGUCUGCCUCACUCUACUCCAAACACUUUUCUAGUACAAGUUUUACAUGAGGAACAAGAUUUAUUAAAUGUUGUAUGCAUGAUUAUCUGGUUUUGCAUUUUGUGGAUUACUGAAAAACUGAAUUUUCAGUUUUUCCAAUUUGCAAUUUUAAGAAAAGUAUCUGUUCAUUUGACUCUAAAAAUAAUUAUAGUUGUCUCCUAGAAUAUCACAGAGCAUUUUUUAUGUGACUGAAUAAACACACAAACCAAACUCACCUUUAAGAUAGUAUUUUAUAUUUCUCAAAUUUUUUUAUUCAUUAAACUGAUUCGUUUGUACAGUUUUCAACAGCCUGGUUCUCUUUGCUUUUGUUUUAAGGGGUUUGAAGUGGAUGAUGAGAAUCAGAUGUGGGUACUUUUUUCCCCUACUCAUUUUUAAGCACUACAGUUGGAAUUUUCAGGAAUAGACUUUAAGCAUAUGUUAAACAUAUAAAGUUAUCUUUCCAUGAAUAAAAUAUUGAAUUGACCUUAGUGGAAACCUUAUGAAAGAGAAAUGGUCCUGAGAUAUGUCUUUGCCAAAGAAAAAAAAAAAAAUUUGUAACAUUUUUUCGUAAAAAAAUCUUAGCCUGUAUUUUAGCUGUAUUUAAUUUUAUAUGAAAAUGUGAACAGAGGAAAACCAAGAGAUAUUUUAAUGUUUUUAUUUGCUGCAAACAGCUCAAUAAAAUCACCCCUACUUAAACACUCACUGAAGAAAUUCAGUAUGCCUUCCAUAUUUAUAUUACAGGAGUAUUUAACUUUUUAUUUAUAUUUUAUUUUAUUUGUGCUUUAUUUUUCCAUUUAAUACUAAUACUAAAAAUCAGUAUACGGGAAAUCUCAUUUUAUUAGGUAUGAGAAGAAUUUACAACAGUUUGAAAUAGUUUUCUUUUUUUUAGCUGUGAAGCAAUAACAGAGGGGGGCAGUCUUGGAUAAACAUCUCUUCUGUGUAUUCACAAACCCCUGCCUUUUGUGCUUCUGCAGAUCCAAAUUCAAUUACUGUGUCUGUUAGAACACAACUCUUUGAUCUAUGUGAAGAGUCAAGAAAUUAUCAGUUGUACAGACCUGGAUUACUCCCCUUCUGUGCAGAAAGGUUCCACUGAGGCAAGCACAACCCACUGGAGCUCCUGGUGGAGGAAAUCUGCUGCUCUGGGAUGGGCUGAGGUCAGAGGUGGUACUUGCACUGCAAGAGUUCCUGUGCCUGUGGUCUUUGAGCUCUCCCUGAGACUCAGAUAAUUUGGUUUACCAUGAAUUGCUGUGAUAAAGAGGAGGCUGAUUUGUUUCUGCUCUGCAUCUAUUGCAGAAUCAGCUCUGUCUUGGGCAUGCACCCAGGAAGUGCAUACACUUCCCACUGAACAUGAUUAAGCACCUAAAAUAAAGUCAAAAAUAACAGGAAAUUACACGGGAGGAAAGUAAGUGUAUACUCUAGCAUUAAACAAAGAGACAGCAGAAACUGUGCCUCAAAGUGAUCUGACAAUUUAAAGAAUUAUAGGGUAUUGUGACAAAGAAUGAGAAAGAGGAAAAAAGGAGAGGCAAUAGUCUACAAUCACAAAAAGCAGAUACCAUCUCAAAAGCUUUUGGUUUAGCCUUUUUUUUCCUUAACUCUCAACACUUAGAGACUGUAUUUUAUGCUGUUGUAAAAACUUUUUUGAGUAUAUGCUUCUUGCCCUGAACAUUACCUCAAUCCAUGUUCUCCACAAAAUAGGUAAAAAUAGGAUAUUUGGCAACACUCCAUCCAUGACUCUACAUAAUUUUCUAGUAUUUGUUUAUUAAACUGUAGUGAAUGACUUCUCAUCUCAGGCUUCUUGAUCAAGUACCAUAAUCCCCAUAUCAUCACUUUUUUGCUGUUUCAUUUUCAUUAUCACUGUUUGGACCUUUAAUUUUGUAAUCUUUCAUUUAUUGCUAGCAUCUUACAUAAAUGGUAGUUUAAAUGUUCUUGUAAUAUUGGCACUGGCCACAGUAAUAUUCUUUGUCUUACAGUGCACCGAAAAAAGUUUAUCUGUGGCCUGUUUAACACAGUGUUUGAGGUCAGACAUGUUAUAAAAUAAUAAUAAAAAUAAUGUCUUGUUUCUUACACAGUGUUUCUUACACCAUAACCUUCAGAGAUAAUGGUGGUGUAGUAGAUGUUCUUCACUGUCUUAUACAAUCAGAAUCUCUGUCCUGAGGUAUGCAGUCUUGGAAGAACAGCCAAAACACCUACUUUAGGCCACUGGACAUUUCACAAUGUUGGGGUUUUUUAGAAAUAAAAAUAGCAGUUAAUCAUAAAUCUAUUAUUAUUAUUAUUUUCCAGAACAUGGAAAUUAGUUACUCGUGUUUGACCCAUCAGCCAAUUUAUCCCUUCAAACAGCAAGGUUUAACCCAACAAAUUAGUCCUUAAAAGCUGAAAACUCUGAAUGCUUUUGCACUGGGAAGUGAGUGUGUGAGUCCUUGCAGUAACAGACUCUAUGUUCACAUUGCUUUUGCAUAUGCUGGCUUGCUGGAGCUAAUAUUAGCCUGUGUAAGAGACUGAGUACACAGGAAACUAGACAGCAAUUCAACUACAUCAAGACGCACCACAAUCCUCUUUCAUCCUGAUCAUUUUUUCCCAAACCAGCCAAAGGAGUAACUUACUUUCCUGUCUCCCAUGUAGCAGAGGUCAUUCUCCAGGGAGGAAUCAGAUUGUUAUUUGAUGAUAUUAACCUUUGGAGGGCUCCCCCUCUUAUCUUCCCUGUGCUCUAUCAGUGUUUAGGCUGCCAGCCUGGAAGGUCUGGGAAGCUGAACAGGAGAAUGUGGAUUUGGACAAUGAGACCUCCUCAGUAAAAUAAUUAUGCACUGGACCUAAAAUAUGCAAACUGUAGGAGUCUACAAUAGGGAUUUGAAUCUGUGCACUGAUAAAAGCAGCUUGGUUGGGAUUUGACUGUGUUCCAUUACAAUGAAGAGCAAAACUCACUGUAAAAGGGGAGGAUAGGAUCAGCUUAUUUCAAAGCAAGCUAUAAUCACCAUUAAAAUUCUGUAAUCUUCAUGUGCAGCUCACACCCAGAAGCUCUCCUUGAGCAGUUCUCCUCCAGGUGAUGCAGAACCAUCCCAGUGUCUGUCCUUUAGAUGCUUCUGUACUGUGUCAGAGAAAGGAACAGGCAGUAAUGGGGCAUUUUUGAGUGCAUAAAGAUUUCCUAAAAUCAUGUUUCUACCCUUCUCUACAAUCUGAUUUUCAUUUUCUUUGCAUUAUAUCUGCUGAUAUUUUAAAAACUUGGGUAUUUAUUGCCUGCACACUAAUGAAAAACUAAAUAACUGGAAAGAAGUGAAGAACAGCUUUGUUUCUCCAGCUUUUUUUCACCAGUGUUGUACAUUCUUAUGAUGUUAUCUUUUUGUAAAAACUUCCACAUGGCCAUUUGCCAUGUCCAGCAAGUAUAAUUAUUAGACAAGUUCAGAUACGUAUAUUCUGUUAAUAUUCCAGACUUUUCAUCAUAAAACUUAGAGCAUGUGAAGGUUCCUCAGCAGAGGAACACAGUAAGAAUGCAGUGCUGUGGCUUGUUUGUGUUCUCAGGAUUAGAGAGAGCUCAGUGUGCCACAUUAGAGUGGCCUAUUAAAACAAAAGCCUGAGUGACACCCAGUGCUUUAGUGAUGCUGAAUCACUACCCUGAAUAUCAGUGGAGCAGGUUAAUUCUUUACUGGCAUAAGGAGCAUCCAGUCUCUCUCUUUUUUUUUUUUUUUUUUUUUUUUUUUUUUUUUUUUUGAAGAUGUUAGAGAAUCAUCAUAGUCAAAUUUUAAACCAAGGUUGCAUUUGGUGGUCAAGUGCAGUGCAAAUUUAAAAAAUAACUUCCUAAAUAUGAGCUGUCUUAUCUUUCUGCUGUUAAAGUCAGCCUGCCAGUAAGAAGUCAGACUUAGAAGUGAUUUUUCUUCUAAUCUUAUAGUCAGGCAGCAUUUUUGUACACUUAAUGGAAUUAAUUCUGAUUUUCCAGUAGGUAAAUAAAAACAGAAGGUCACCAUAAAUAUUUACAAUCACAAUUGUCAUUUGCCUAACUACAUUCUUGAAGAAUUUUCAACACCAUUUGUUAAACUAGCAUUAUUUUUUUUUUCAUUUGCUUAAUGAGUGUUUAAGAUUUAUAGGACUUUCAUUAUUGUCAGUAUCAAAAUCAGAAUUAUUAAUGGAGUUAAAACGAAACAUCUGAACUCUUCAUAAUUCUCCCUCUAUUUGCAAGAAUGAAAACCACAUUUUCCAGCUGUCGUAUUUACUUACAAAUUCCCACUUAUGUUAUUGUACUGAAAAUACUGUGUGAACCAA